GGUUGGGUGAGGGAAUUACAGUCUCCAGCCCAGCUUAGCCCCACCUCAUGGUCCUGCCACCCCAGUGGGGACCCCACUCUGAAGAGAGAUUGUCCCACCAGCCCCUUGGGGACCUUGUACCAUCACUCUGCCCACCCCGUGCCCCCCACUGCUCACAGGCCACUGAACACCAGUGCCCCAUCCCAGCUGCUGCUCUUGUCCCCACCCACCCAUCAAGGCUCUUGCUGUCAGAGCCCUCACUCACAGCCUGCCUCCCUCACCUUCAUUUACAUCUUCAUACCUUCCAGACACACCGGCCCCACCCUCUGCUAAAACCGCUCCUGCCAAGGCCCACAUGACCUUCGUUCAGAGAAACCCCACCUUUAUCACUACAGUCAGGUUUCUGCCUGCAGGGUCCCCACCCUGAUCAACAAGUCUCCCUCAGCUCCUCACAAAGCCCCAGCCUCUCUAAGACCCUUUCUCUGACUCCUACUCCCCUCCCUGAGAUCCCAUGACCAACCCAGGUGCUGCCCCUAGAGCCAAGCCUCCAUCCUUCGCAUUAAGCCUCCAGCCUAUCACUGACCUCCAUUCCCCCAACAAGUCCCCAAGCUCCAGCCUGCCACACCCCAGUCCCUGCCUGUGUCCGUAACCACACUGCCCCACUCUCUCAGUGCUCUGUGUAUUCAGGCCCUGGGCACCGGUGGAGGCUGUGCUAUUUGAGGAGGUGCCCUGGAGUAGCGGAUGUGGGGCCAGGCGGGGCCAGGGAGGGCACUGGCUGCUGUCCAAGGUACUGACCAGAAUCAGGCCCUGGUUGAGUCUCACCACUCCCUCCAGCGGGGGCCUAGCUUGUACCCUGGAGAACUGCUGGGCUGUCCUGCAGCUCAGUUAGCACCUUUGCCCUUCCUACCCUGCUUCAGCCUGGCCCAGGGGCUUCCCAAGGACCCCAUGGGUACAGACAUAGGGCCCAAAUUAAAGGGAGGAACAUGUCCAGGCACCCCUUGGGCUGAUAGGGCAAAGAGGUGGCUGAUGUGGCCCUUUUGCCCACCCUUGAUCCUCCCCCAAAUCUUCAUCCCCAGCCCUGCAGCCAUCUCCCCUGCCAACCCCACCCCCGCCCGCAGUCUCCUCGUACAGAUGGAGGGGUCAUGGACCAGAUAGGAGCAGGGACCUCUCAAGGUCACACAGCAGACCUGGGACAGACUUCUGCCUGCCUCCCCUCAGGAUCGGGUUUCUCAGUGACACCCUCUGGAAUCUGGGCCCAUAGGGAAGAUGUUGCCAUUGUCCGCAGUUGGGAGAAGAAGAACCUGGCACAUGAGGAAGCCAAGUAAUUGGACCAGCCCUCUCCAUCAUGGCUUUUCCCACGCCUCUGAUUGGACUGGAAACUCCCUGAAAGGAGGAAGAAAGUCAGAUUCACCUGUAGGUCCCUCCCGGGCCUGGAGAGGCUGGCAUGCUGUUGGCACUCACUGACUGCCUGAUGGCAGACUGGCUGGAUGGAAUGGUGACCUGUGACCAGUCUGUCUCUCUCCUCAGCUGACCUGAGAGUUCCUGGAGGCCAGGGACUGUGUUUGCCUCACCUCGGCACCUCUGUGCCUGGGGUAGAGGAACUGCUCAACAAGUUCUGGUUGAAUGAAUAGAGGGAACACUAAGAGUGAAUAAUUAUUGAGCACUUACUGUGUGCGAGCAGCUGCUGUAACCAUAGGACACUUUUUUAUCUCAAUGAACCCUGCAGAGGGUUCCAAUGAGGGAAUGGAGCAGACCUGAUCAUCAAGCUGGGCGUGGGGAGGUGCCUCGUGGCAGGUGCCAGAAGACAUGACAGGGACUCCUGCACAUGGCACCACAGCAAUGCUGUCAAGGUUGCCUGUGGAAUCUGAAAACUGAAACACUCGUCUUUAUACCCAGAGUUGGCCAAAGCAAGACACUAGCAAAUCAGUUAACCCAAAAAUGUGCAAACAAGAUAUCCCGUGC
Molecule: long non-coding RNA, 1941 nt
Organism: Cercocebus atys (sooty mangabey)
Lineage: Eukaryota; Metazoa; Chordata; Mammalia; Primates; Cercopithecidae
Exons: 3
Source: RefSeq, a predicted model, not a curated record